Piliocolobus tephrosceles (Ugandan red Colobus) is the source of this 1171-nucleotide long non-coding RNA. RefSeq lists it as uncharacterized. NCBI's taxonomy places the organism in Eukaryota, Metazoa, Chordata, Mammalia, Primates, Cercopithecidae. The transcript has 3 exons. The record is from RefSeq and is a predicted model, not a curated record.
CAGAGAUUGCAGCGAGCCACGAUCGCACCACUGCACUCCAGCCUGGCGACAGAGCGAGACUCCAUCUCAAGAAAAGGAAAGAAAAGCCCUAGUAGCUCCUCAGUGUCAGCCCUAAAAUCCCAACCAUCCUACUUCCCAUGUAAACAAAUUUCCCACCCCUCACUCUCCUGUUUGCUGCUUGGGUAACUGCCCAUCUAGCAGCUUCAGUGGAGCUUCAUCUUCACACAAAGAUAAUCACUUCCCAUUUUCCUGCUUUAGUUUCUCUCUGCUUCAGAGCCAUCAAAAGGAAAGAAACAAAGAAAAAGCUACAAACAUGAGUCAAGGCUGUAUAUAGCAGCUCUGGAUCCUAUCCCAGUUGGAUUGACUACUCUGGGCUCAGUGUCUUUUGCAUCUACUGCAGGAAUUCAACCAGACGCUGAACAGGACAGUAGUUGGCUAACCUGUGAUACUGUUAUCAGACCAAUACCCCUAGGAAGUCUACAGAUUAGAAUGGAAGGAAGAAUCUGGAUUACAGCUUGGAUCAGAGAAGAAGAGUCUUGGUUUCCAUAUAGUUAAGAGGCAAGAAGUAUGACAAGUAUGGCAAGGAACUCUUAUUUCCAGUAUAAAGAAUGGGCAGGAGUCUCCCCACUGAGGUCCACCUCUCUUUGGAGGCAAGAGGAGUGGUAUUUGUAACUCUGGGUAAGAGUUGAAAUUACUCACAUAGAAGAAGGAGAUGGGACCGGCAUGGAAACUAAUCAUAAUCCCGAAGAUGCAAGUCAGCUGGGACAGCAUGAUAUGCAGUGCCACAGCAGCCAGGUAAGCACUCAUUGCAGACUCCGGAAGGUAAGUGGCAAUGAAGCCCAAACCCAAUACGCCCAUUGUUAGCUGCAAAGAGAAAACCAGAGUGGGGCAGAAUGUCUUCAAUCCAGCAAUGGCACCAGUGGCACUCUCAAGGAAAAGAAGGAUUUCCAACAGAAAAGUUAGGAUAGGCCCCUUUGGUAACUCUUAUAACUCUCUUUCCUUAAUGAACAGAAGUUGAUAACAUGGGUCCUUGUGUGUUGAUCAAAGGCUCCUGACAAGUGCUAGCCCACACUACUCCUUUCCUUCUUUGUGAGCAGUCAGCUCACUUAAGUUCUUGCCCUGGAAUCUACUGCUCUCUAGGUUGACUUGGGGAAAACAGGGACAAGGUGAU